Molecule: ribosomal RNA, 513 nt
Filed under: Trigomphus interruptus
Lineage: Eukaryota; Metazoa; Arthropoda; Insecta; Odonata; Gomphidae
Description: partial 16S rRNA
Rfam family: Bacterial large subunit ribosomal RNA
Source: RNAcentral
GUCCUCUUGUUUUAUAUAUGAGGUCUGACCUGCCCAGUGAAAAUUAUUUUAACGGCCGCGGUAUUUUGACCGUGCAAAGGUAGCAUAAUCAUUAGUCUUUUAAUAGGAGGCUGGAAUGAAGGGUUUGACGAGGUAUUAACUGUCUCAUUUAAUUUGAAAUUAAAAUUUAACUUUUCAGUUAAAAGGCUGAAAUUGUAUUGGAAGACGAGAAGACCCUAUAGAGCUUUAUAUUUAAAAUUAAUAAUAAAUUUUUGUUUAUUAUUAUUUCUUAUUAUUUUAAUUAUUUUGUUGGGGUGACAAAAAUAUAUAAAUAACUUUUUUAUUUAAAUAACAUUGAUUUAUGAUUAUUAGAUCCAGUCUUAUUGAUUGCUAGAUUAAGUUACCUUAGGGAUAACAGCGUAAUCUUCCUUCAGAGUUCAUAUUUACAGGAAGGAUUGCGACCUCGAUGUUGGAUUAAGAUAAUAAUUAGGUGUAGCCGCUUAAUAUAUAGGUCUGUUCGACCUUUAAAUUCUU